This 708-nucleotide ribosomal RNA is filed under the name uncultured bacterium. RNAcentral's name for it is "bacterial SSU rRNA". It matches the Rfam family "Bacterial small subunit ribosomal RNA", at positions 94 to 823 of the family's 1533-position model. The record is from RNAcentral.
AGCGGCGGACGGGUGAGUGGGUCCUGUAACCUGCCCUGUACACACGGAUAACAUACCGAAAGGUAUGCUAAUACGAGAUAAUAUGCUUUUAUCGCAUGGUAGAAGUAUCAAAGCUUUUGCGGUACAGGAUGGACCCGCGUCUGAUUAGCUAGUUGGUAAGGUAACGGCUUACCAAGGCGACGAUCAGUAGCCGACCUGAGAGGGUGAUCGGCCACAUUGGAACUGAGACACGGUCCAAACUCCUACGGGAGGCAGCAGUGGGGAAUAUUGCACAAUGGGCGAAAGCCUGAUGCAGCAACGCCGCGUGAGCGAUGAAGGCCUUCGGGUCGUAAAGCUCUGUCCUCAAGGAAGAUAAUGACGGUACUUGAGGAGGAAGCCCCGGCUAACUACGUGCCAGCAGCCGCGGUAAUACGUAGGGGGCUAGCGUUAUCCGGAAUUACUGGGCGUAAAGAGUGCGUAGGUGGUUUCUUAAGUCAGAGGUGAAAGGCUAAGGCUCAACCGUAGUAAGCCUUUGAAACUGGGAAACUUGAGUGCAGGAGAGGAGAGUGGAAUUCCUAGUGUAGCGGUGAAAUGCGUAGAUAUUAGGAGGAACACCAGUUGCGAAGGCGGCUCUCUGGACUGUAACUGACACUGAGGCACGAAAGCGUGGGGAGCAAACAGGAUUAGAUACCCUGGUAGUCCACGCCGUAAACGAUGAGUACUAGCUGU